Molecule: small nuclear RNA, 106 nt
Organism: Meriones unguiculatus (Mongolian gerbil)
Lineage: Eukaryota; Metazoa; Chordata; Mammalia; Rodentia; Muridae
Source: Ensembl
GUGUUCACUCAGCAGUAUAUAAUCUCAAAUUGGAAUGAUACUGAGAAGAUUAGCAUGGUCCCUGAACAAGGAUAACAUGCAAAUUCUUGAAGUGUUCCAUAUUAAG